GAUGAACGCUGACAGAAUGCUUAACACAUGCAAGUCUUUGGCGAAGCUGUGCUCGCACUGCCUAGCCAAGGCGGACGGGUGAGUAACGCGUAAGGAACUUGCCCUGCAGUCAGGGAUAACAGACGGAAACGACUGAUAAGACCUGGUAAAGUCAGGCGGACUCAUGUCCAGCCUGAUGAAAAGGGAUGCUGCAGGAGAGCCUUGCGUCCUAUUAGCUUGUUGGUGGGGUAACGGCCCACCAAGGCGAUGGUAGGUAGCCGGCCUGAGAGGGUGGACGGCCACAAGGGGACUGAGAUACGGCCCUUACUCCUACGGGAGGCAGCAGUGGGGAAUAUUGGACAAUGGGGGCAACCCUGAUCAAGCAAUUCUGUGUGCACGAUGAAGGUUUUCGGAUUGUAAAGUGCUUUCAGCAGGGAAGAAAAAAAUGACGGUACCUGCAGAAGAAGCGACGGCUAAAUACGUG
This 463-nucleotide ribosomal RNA is filed under the name uncultured bacterium. RNAcentral describes it as "partial 16S ribosomal RNA". It matches the Rfam family "Bacterial small subunit ribosomal RNA", at positions 28 to 507 of the family's 1533-position model. The record is from RNAcentral.